This 310-nucleotide long non-coding RNA is filed under the name Hordeum vulgare. RNAcentral's name for it is "long non-coding RNA (HVUL_LNC015604)". Lineage: Eukaryota; Viridiplantae; Streptophyta; Magnoliopsida; Poales; Poaceae. The record is from RNAcentral.
GGGCCGAUGCCCGAUGACCUCCGGUGCCCCCUCAAGGACGAGGUGAGCGAGCACGUGGAGUCCCUGGUGGAGCCGUUCAUUUGAGCGGAGACCCCCGAAGCAAGCGGCAGCCCUAGCGCCGGGGCCCUCGAGGGCCACGAUGAAGACAACGCCUCCUCCGCCUAGGCUUCCCCUUUCCCGUUGCACUCAAAAUCACCCGACCCCAUGUGGGGCAUCAAAUGUGUAAUAUAUUUUUGUUUUUAACAACUCCUCUCUGUCAUGCUUAGCGUGCCACUGCUCGUCUCGUGAGGCCUUCCGGCGCCCCUCGUCG